GCCGCCGAGCGCCCGGCAGGGCGCCCCCUCUGGAUACGCGGGGAGCUGGAAGCGCGGGUUCGAGUCCCGCCGGCGGCAC
This 79-nucleotide transfer RNA is filed under the name Actinoplanes ianthinogenes. RNAcentral describes it as "tRNA-Ile". The record is from RNAcentral. Lineage: Bacteria; Bacillati; Actinomycetota; Actinomycetes; Micromonosporales; Micromonosporaceae.